Molecule: long non-coding RNA, 2331 nt
Organism: Bos taurus (domestic cattle)
Lineage: Eukaryota; Metazoa; Chordata; Mammalia; Artiodactyla; Bovidae
Source: Ensembl
AGCAGAGAAGAAACAAAUCCCUUCAAUUCCCAGCACUCACAUGCCUUAGGUACCCCAAGGGGCUUUGGGAACCCAAACUUACACUCAGGCUGCUCAAAUGUGAAAACUGUGGGCCCUCUGGGGUCUGGUGCUAACCUGGGAGGGUUGCUGAACCGGCUGCUGGGCCAUCAGGUGGCCACGGACUUGGCUGAGCAGGCUGAGACACAGACGCAGACACACCCCUGCGUCUCACCCUGAGGGUCAUGGCUCUUUCUUGUGCUCCUUCUGGCCUCAUAUCCUUCACCUGUUCAACAGCAGGAGGGUCAGCCUAGGCAGGCAUGUCUCAAAGUGUGUGCUAUGGAAUACCAGCCAUCAUAUGCAAUUACUCGCCCAGUAAUGCCUGACUCUUUGCAACCCCAUGGGCUGUAGCCCACUAUCAUGGACUGUGGUUAAUGAGGGGAGGAAAGAUUCUGUGGUGAAUGGAGCAUUGAGUUCAGUUAUUUUUGCAGCUAACAACAUUUGGUGAACGUAGUAGGCACUGGGUUCAGCACUUUACAAACAUUUUCUCAUUGACCUCUUACAAUUACUCUGAGGCCCUAUGGCUGGCUGCAUUUUACAGAUGAGGAAACGAAGGCUUGGCAAGGUUAGAUUUACCCAAGUUCUCUCAACUGUUAAGCGGCAGAGUCAUGAUUCAAACCCAGGUGGCCCAUGUCCAGAUCUCUUGUUCUCAAUCAGGUUGAAUUAACAGGGUAUGGUGAUGGGUGACAUUGUUGGGGGAGAAAGGGGAAGGAAGAAUUCACAUGCCCCCCUCCUUUUUUUUUUAUUCAACUCAGUGUCAUAUAGUGUCCUGGUGGGUGGUGGAGAAAUACAAUGAAAAAAAAAAACAAAAAACAAACCACCCACUCUACCCCUUAGAACUUCAGACAAGGAGGAAGAUUAAGCAAAGCAUGAAGCAUGCUGAGUUGGGUAUGGGGAAACAAGUCUUCCUGAAGUGGUCUCUUUUUAAACCAAGACUUAAGGGACCAUUAAACAUGGGAAGAGGGCAGGAGAAAUGGUGUGUGCAAAGACCAGGAGCUGAGGUAGAGCAUGGAGAUUCAAAGACACGGUGGACUGAAGGGGCAUGGGUCUGGGAGAUGAGAGCCUGGAUGUCAGCAGAGGGCAGUCACUUGAGGUCUUGACUCUGAGGCUUCUAGAUUGGGACUGGGACAAGGGAGGGGAGAGAAUUUGAGGAAAUCCUGGGGGAACAGUGGUCUGCUGGCUGGAGCUAGGAACAUGGGUGAGGGCAAAGGAAGUGGUGGUAAUGAGCUUGGUUUUGGUCUCCCGAGUGCUGAGAGGGGGGUCACCGUUAAGGUCUUUUCCACUGCUGACCUUCUCAACUUCCCUGGAAGGAAGGAACAUCUCCCUGCGGCCCCUCCACCCCCAAAUAUUCUGGGCAGGAAGGAGCGGGAUCUGUUUUGUCAACGCAGCUUGCAAUAAAGAGUCUCAUUCAGGGAGGCAAACAGCUGCUUGACUAUUAAUAGGCAGGGCCUCAGCCGCAGCCUGCUGGGAGGGCUCGGCAUGCAGUUCUGGAAAGGUGAAUCUCUUCCAUCUGCCUGUCUGGAGUUUGCACCCCAUGGUGGAACAAUAGGCCGGGUGCUCAUUUCUCGGAAGACAGGCGCCUGAGGAGGAGGAAAAAAAGGACCACUUCUCCUCACCGCCGGCCCUCAGGAGUGUCUAAGCCAUUCUCCCUACAUUAAUCAUGGAAAAGACAGCAUGCCCCAGCCCGGGAGGGAAAAAGUGCCUUUUUCAUCUGUCUGGCUACAUGGGUCUCAACAUGAAAGUUCAGCUCUGGCUAAGCUCUCGCUCUUGACAGCCGUCCCGCCGCCUCUGACCCCUCUCGGGCUCUUUCAACCACACCCGCAAAAGAUCCUUGCGGCAGGAAGAGGAGACAAAAGGGCCAGAAGGAACCAGGGAGGCCAACCAAAGAGCAAGCAUAAUGAGCCCGCACUGCCAGGAGGUGGAGGCAAGAGUGAGAGGGGACACUGAGGGGCACUUUUGCCUCCAAAUGAGGAAACAAAAACCCCACAGAAGGUGAGCACCAAAUCCUGAAUGCCUUUUGCAACCAGAGGAAGAGCUGUUUGAUCUUCAUUAUUUUCUCUUCCCAAACUGAAAACCUCAGCAAGAUCAGGGAGUCUGGGGUAGGUAUCAGAGAUACUGAGGACCCCUCUCCCCAAAGCUGAUGCAAAUUAUUGUGAAUGUGCUUUCUUGGGGAGAGGAUCCCUAAGCUGUGUUAUGUUCGAAAAGAUGUCUGUGGCCAGAACUCCUGAGAUAUACCUACCCUCCCAUUGUGUUGAUAGGAAAAUCGAGGCCCAU